UACGUAGGGUCCGAGCGUUGUCCGGAAUUACUGGGCGUAAAGAGCUCGUAGGUGGUUUGUCGCGUUGUUCGUGAAAACUCACAGCUUAACUGUGGGCGUGCGGGCGAUACGGGCAGACUUGAGUACUGCAGGGGAGACUGGAAUUCCUGGUGUAGCGGUGGAAUGCGCAGAGUAUCAGGAGGAACACCGGUGGCGAAGGCGGGUCUCUGGGCAUUAACUGACGCUGGAGGAGCGAAAGCCAUGGGGAGCGA
Molecule: ribosomal RNA, 251 nt
Filed under: uncultured bacterium
Lineage: Bacteria
Description: partial 16S ribosomal RNA
Rfam family: Bacterial small subunit ribosomal RNA
Source: RNAcentral